RNAcentral lists this transfer RNA (68 nucleotides) under Osphya bipunctata. RNAcentral's name for it is "tRNA-Glu". Lineage: Eukaryota; Metazoa; Arthropoda; Insecta; Coleoptera; Melandryidae. The record is from RNAcentral.
UAUUUUCAUAUUAUUAUAAAAUAAAAUUUACAUUUUCAAUGUAAAUAAUAAAUAUUUUUUGUAAAUAU